AUCUCUUUCUUCUUCUUCUUCUGUUUCUUUUUUUUUUAUCAAUGAGUUGAAGGUUGAUAAGUUAGCAUUGAUUAGGGAGACUUAACCUUCCUUGACUCAAAUCUAAUUCAUCUUGAUCAAUUGACCAAGUGAAUGGCUUUGCAUUAAGGAUAGGUUGUUUCCUAAAUUAUGCAAAAUACUUAAACCAAUACAAGAUCAAUUCUCUUCUUCUUUUUGGCAUGGCAAGUUGUUGGAACUUGGUUCACUAAUCAAGACUUCUAACUUGUGUUGUUGCCUACAUUAUUAUUGACCGACCUCAGAUAGUACUCUUCUUCUUUUUGGCAUGGCAAGUUGUUGGAACUUGGUUCACUAAUCAAGACUUCUAACUUGUGUUGUUGCCUACAUUAUUAUUGACCGA
Molecule: long non-coding RNA, 397 nt
Filed under: Lathyrus oleraceus (garden pea)
Lineage: Eukaryota; Viridiplantae; Streptophyta; Magnoliopsida; Fabales; Fabaceae
Description: Pisum sativum (pea) long non-coding RNA (PSAT_LNC031269)
Source: RNAcentral